ACCAGACUCCUACGGGAGGCAGCAGUGGGGGAUAUUGCACAAUGGGGGGAACCCUGAUGCAGCGACGCCGCGUGGAGGAAGAAGUAUCUCGGUAUGUAAACUCCUAUCAGCAGGGAAGAAAGAAGACGGUACCUGACUAAGAAGCCCCGGCUAACUACGUGCCAGCAGCCGCGGUAAUACGUAGGGGGCGAGCGUUAUCCGGAUUUACUGGGUGUAAAGGGAGCGUAGACGGCCAAGCAAGCCAGGGGUGAAAGCCCGGGGCCCAACCCCGGGACUGCCCUUGGAACUGCUUGGCUGGAGUGCGGGAGGGGCAGGCGGAAUUCCUGGUGUAGCGGUGAAAUGCGUAGAUAUCAGGAGGAACACCGGCGGCGAAGGCGGCCUGCUGGACCGCGACUGACGUUGAGGCUCGAAAGCGUGGGGAGCGAACAGGAUUAGAUACCCGUGUAU
Molecule: ribosomal RNA, 447 nt
Filed under: uncultured bacterium
Lineage: Bacteria
Description: bacterial SSU rRNA
Rfam family: Bacterial small subunit ribosomal RNA
Source: RNAcentral